RNAcentral lists this ribosomal RNA (429 nucleotides) under uncultured archaeon. Its description in RNAcentral is "bacterial SSU rRNA". It matches the Rfam family "Archaeal small subunit ribosomal RNA", at positions 474 to 903 of the family's 1478-position model. The record is from RNAcentral.
UACCUGCAGCUCGAGUGGUAACCGCUAUUAUUGGGCCUAAAGCGUCCGUAGCCGGUUUGGUAAAUAUCUGGGUAAAUCGUGAGGCUUAACUUCACGAAUUUCGGAUAGACUGCCAGACUUGGGAUCGGGGGAGGUCAGAGGUACUCCAGGGGUAGCGGUGAAAUGUUGUAAUCCUUGGAGGACCACCGGUAGCGAAGGCGUCUGACUAGAACGAGUCCGACGGUGAGGGACGGAGCCCUGGGGCGCAAACCGGAUUAGAUACCCGGGUAGUCCAGGGUGUAAACAAUGUGGGCUUUGUAUUGGAGGUCCCACGUGGGCGUCCAGUGCAGAAGAGAAGUUGUUAAAGCCCACCGCCUGGGAAGUACGGUCGCAAGGCUGAAACUUAAAGGAAUUGGCGGGGAGCACAGCAACGGGAGGAGCGUGCGGUUU